UACGUAGGGUGCGAGCGUUAAUCGGAAUUACUGGGCGUAAAGCGUGCGCAGGCGGUUCGUUAAGUCAGAUGUGAAUGCCCCGGGCUCAACCUGGGAACUGCAUUUGAAACUGGCGGGCUUGAGUGUGGCAGAGGGGGGUGGAAUUCCGCGUGUAGCAGUGAAAUGCGUAGAGAUGCGGAGGAACACCGAUGGCGAAGGCAGGUCUCUGGGCCACUACUGACGCUGAGAAGCGAAAGCAUGGGGAGCGAACAGG
RNAcentral lists this ribosomal RNA (253 nucleotides) under uncultured bacterium. Its description in RNAcentral is "partial 16S ribosomal RNA". It matches the Rfam family "Bacterial small subunit ribosomal RNA", at positions 524 to 776 of the family's 1533-position model. The record is from RNAcentral.